Non-coding RNA from Taeniopygia guttata (zebra finch), 4601 nucleotides. The record is from RefSeq and is a predicted model, not a curated record. Lineage: Eukaryota; Metazoa; Chordata; Aves; Passeriformes; Estrildidae.
CGCCCAGCAGCGCCUGGCAGAGCAGCAGCGCCAGGAGCGAGCGGGUCACGGCAACCAUGAUCAACCUGCGCGGAGGAGGAGGAGGCGAUGGGAGCCAGUCAGCGCGGACACCGCGCCGGGGGAGGGAGGUGCGCUAGCACCUCCGCCGUGGCCCACGGAGUCAUCCUGCGGAGAAGGCUUUCAGCGGAUCUGCGACCGCCGGAGCUAUACCUGUGUGCAGCAGCAGGGGUUGUGUCUGCAGGAGGGUGUUCUGCUCUCGGGGUGUUUUUCCCGCAUCACUUGGUGUUACUCCAAACUUCGCUGCUGCUCCUCUACAGCUGCCGAGCAGAAAAUAGAAGUUCCCUGAAGUGCAGUCCGCCUCGGAAACAUACUUUUAGCAGCUGGUUGAGGAGGCAGAAGGCAAGUCCCAGCCAGGGAAAAAGCUUCUCCCUUUUAAAAGCAGCGAUCGUGAAGUUUCUUCUUCUUCCUCCUCCUCGCGUGUGUGUGCCUGUCCGUGAAUGGGUCCCUACGUGUCUACGGAGUUAAAAGGCUCCUUUUCAAAAAUGUCCUUUGCAUCACGCUCAUCAGACAGAUGGACAUUUACCGACACUCCCGCAGCAACAUCAAGAUGAAGCUUGACUUGUCUCUGCUCCCUUAAAAAAGAAAGGAAAAAGGAGGGAGGAGGGUAAAUAAAACAAAAAAAAAAAAAAAAAAAAAAAAAAAGGGGGUGGGGAGCCGCCCGCCGUCCCGCGUGGAGCGGCCGCGCUAGGGCACCGCGCCGGGCUCCCCGCCGGCCCCGCACCGCACCAUGGCCGGGGGUGGCCGCCCGCCGCUGCUGCCGGGGCUUUUUGUUGCGCGGCGAUGUCACGACCCCGGAGGCUCGGGGGCCCGCGCCAAUCACAGCCGCCCUGUGGGAGCGGGCUGCGGCCCCGCACGGCUUUUAAAGGAGACGCCGCCUCCCUCCCUCGCUCCUUCCCUCCCUCCUCCCUCGCGCGCUCCCUCCCUCGCCGCGGCUGCCGCCCGCGCCCAGGUCGCAGUGUCGCCGCGGCGAGGGAUGGGGCGGGCGGCUGUCCCGUUAAACUGUUGUACCGGCGGCUGAUCCGAUGCGGGAAGACCCCCGGCCCGCCCGGUCCCGAGUCCCGCUCCGGGCGGCAGCGGCGGAGCGGGACCGGGCCGGGUCGAACAAUGACCCAUUGUACAGCCCGAGCGCUCCGCCGCCGCAAAUCGGAUUAACGCCGUGGCCCGGACUGCCGGGGUGGUAAAGUGCGAAGAGCGUGGAGGUCGCUGCACGAGCCUGGGGCAAGGGCUGGAAAUAAGGGGGUUUCCUCGCUCUCCUCUCCGAAAGAGAAGUACCCAAACUCGGGAGACGUCUCCUCCCGCAGCGCUGCCCCGGCGCAUCCGAUGCGGCUUCAGCCCCGUGCGGGCGGCGGAGGGGUUGGGCUGGGUGGGUUUUUUUAAGAUGUGGCUGCCCUCCAGUGGUGGAACGGCGGCGGAUCGCCCGGCCCGGAACGGCGGCCCCGGCGCGAACAGCCCGUCCGCGGCCCCGCACCUGCCCCGGGGCUGAGCCGCGCUCCCCGCGGGAUCGGGGCCCACCCAUGCCCACGCCAGUGCUCCCCGGGCUGCAGCCUCAACUGCUCGUGGCAUAGACCAUGGAACAGGACAGCGGUGACACGGGUGGAGAAAGCGGGUCCAUGCCCAGAAUGAUUGUGCUCCCAAUCCCAGCUGCAUCCCUCGAUCCCUUCCUGACGCUGGCAAAUCUCCUGAUACAACGAGUAACUCGCGAGCAGGACUGCGUCUUUUGCCCCAUCUCUUGUUUGUCUGCUGGGCUCUGCGGUAGGGCCUGGCCCUUGCAUAGGUAUGCGAUACCUAGCAAUUUAGGGUCCUCAUCAAAGCCAAAGCCAUCAGCACACCAUCAUUAGCCGGGGUCCCUUCCUGGCAAGGCAAGUGCUCUGUGCUCCACCUCCUCUUCCCAAUAUCUCUCAGGGGCUUCAUUUGCAAAAGACACAGCCAGCCUGUGACACCUUGAAUUACUGCGGAGGAGGACUUAAAAGCAAUAACAACUGAGACAGCUCCAUUACCAGCUCCUCCUUUGGGAGCGGCCUUUUCCCUCCAUCUUACAACUUCUUAGUGUAGGAAGAACACCAAUUUGAGACAGGAAUUCAGCCCAUUUGGGCUGGAAUAAUUCCUCCUGUGGACCCUCUUCCCUUGGCUUCUCUAUCACAAUUCUAGCCAUUCCCAUGAAACAUCCCUGCAGGAUGAGGAGUUCACCCAGGGAAGUACAUACCAGCAAAACAAACCCCCCAGAACUGCACCAGCAUAAUUAAAGAGCUGCUAAAGCUCCUUCAUGCCAACAGCUCCAAACGCUAACCUGAUUUUCACUCGCUGCCGUGCACACACAGUGGGAGAGGGGACACAAGCAAGGUGAAAUCCCUCAAAAGCUGAGUUCUUUUCCCUUGCAUUCCAGCACAGAUAAUGUUUAAUUUUAUGACUUCCUGCAAGUCUUUAGCAUGAACUGAAGGUUCGUGGAGUGUGACUUCAGGGUAUGCCAAUUAUGUAAAUCAGCACUAAAAUAACAAUGGCAACGUAGUUUACACAUCACUGACAUUAAAUGAGCACUUCAACUUCUAAUUGCCAUUCCAGUUCAAUCUUAGUAGGUGAUGCCAGGAAAAAGUCAUUUCUUGCCUCAACACUUACUCCCUGUGCCUGGAGCACAGGCUCUACUGUAUGCCCAGCACAGUGUUAUCUCCAGGAGCUCCCUAUAUUAGGAUAAUGAGCCUUAGAAGGGAGAAACAUGUUUGUGGUUGCUCUGAAGGCCUGCACACACUCUAAUCUCAACUUGCCCCUCUCUAAUUUUAAGUAUAAAUAAUCUCAGACACUUCUCUUGGCCAUAAAAUACCUUGCCCUUAUAUUUUGUCAUGUCUCAAUCUGUUUUGAUCUGGAGCUGCUGGGGCAGCAACUCUGCCUUCCCAUCCAUUUCCUUGAGGCCCCAAAAAACAACUGGCACCCACCCACACCAGAACCUCAGCCAUGGCCCCCCACCUUCCCCACAGAAAGAUUUCUCACUAAGGCAGGUCCAGCUUCAUUGAGGCAGUAUCCUGGAAUAUGGAGGAAAAGGUUAAAAAGUGUUAUCCCUGAAGGUUUUGUUAUGGUCUGCAUCUCCUCAGCACAAAAACUGACUAAAUUCUGCCUUAUGUUCAGGCCUGCUCCACCCCAGCACCAGCACACCUGAGCUCACCAGCUGAGAAGCAUCUUCAUGAUUACAGACAGAACUAGAGACAGGUGUAUUUAGGUAUAGUGAACUGGAGGCGAACAUGCCUGGAUGUGCCCACCGAGACUCCCAGCUCCACAAAUGAGCCCUUGUCCCCCUCUGACUCCUAGAGCUGUGCAGCAGCACACUUGAGAUAAAGAAACUAAAGCUCAACUCCUGCAUUUCCUGCAGCUAAAAUUCCUCACAAGUUCUGUGAAAAUGAGGACUUGAGUGGUACAUCAGCUAAAUAUCCAGCCCCAUCCAGGUGGGCUUCCACACUGUCAUUGCAUUUUACAGAGUUAUUUCAAGAGCAAUCCUCCUCUUCAGCCCAAGCCCUGUCAGAGAGAGAAACCACCACUUACACUGAAAAGAUCCGUGUUAGUAAAGCUGACUAUGCAUAUUUGUUAAUCUCCUUUGUGAAAUUUCACUUCUCCCCCACCAAACUGCACUAAUUAGUUUCUUUCUUCUUCACCACACACACUCCUUUUUUUUUUUUUGUCUUUUUUUUUUUUUUUUUUUUGGCAGGUGUUUAGCCAGUAAGUACUCAAUUAGUGGCACCUGCUGCUAAUGUUUCAGAGCCAGGUGUUCCUUGCUAGGACCCAAACACAGCUGAUAGAUAUCAACUUCAGGUGUUGUUGGGCUUUCUUAAGAAAACUAUCCAUAUAAGGACAUGUUUUACAACAAGGCUGAGAGUCCUUUUUUCAAGGUAGACAGGAGAGAAGAAAAUAUUUUCUUCCCUCAGAAUUUUUUUCUUACAAGUACUGUACAAAAUCACAUUUAUAUGUUGCCACAAUGUAGUGUCUUUUUUUCCAACUUGGUUACACUGCAACCAGCACUGCUGGUGGCUGUGGGCAGGAGACUUCAGCUGGAGGACCUAGAUGAGAAAGGCUCCAUGGGGUCUAUGACCACAGUUUGCAAUUCUUACCAAAAUGACUUAAAUUCUGGUCUAGUUAGAGACACAAGCCUGCAGAAACACUCGCAUCACUCGAUGCACAGUGAUACUCAACAUUUUACUACUGGCACCAGCAGCCCUAUGUCACCAACACAGAGCAUUUUUGAGAAUUCCCACUUUAGACCACUGUCCCCUGGAUAUGAUAAGUAUGUGAGAUAUGAAAUAUUAAUGUAGUGAGGGUUUUUUUUAUGGAUUUUGCACAUUUCAGUGAAUAAACCUCUUGAUAAAAUUUGUGCUGAAGUAUGAAAUAUAUACACGGUACAGCAUCAAAUGUGAGCAGGGCGACGGCUGAAAAUGAGUUAAGAUGUGUUAGUGAUGUUGAGGUUUUGCCUUCAUAAUGGGUAGAGAUUAUCUGAAAGCUUUUCUUUUCCUGAGCUGUGCUUCCUAUUGGCAUUUGUGUGAAUAUGAUGUGUAGCCAUUCUU